GUCCUUUAGAAAAUAAGUAUUUAAGGUUUAAUCUGCCCACUGAGAUUUAAAUGGCCGCAGUAAUUUGACUGUGCAAAGGUAGCAUAAUCAUUAGUUUUUUAAUUAAAAGCUUGUAUGAAUGAUUGGACGAGAUAAAUUCUGUCUUUGAAUAAUGAAUAGAAUUUAAUUUUUAAGUUAAAAAGCUUAAAUUUUAAUAAAAGACGAGAAGACCCUAUAGAUCUUUAUUUAAUUGAUUUUAUUAUUAAUUAGGAUUAUUUAAUUUAUUAGAUUUAAUUAAAUUUUAUUGGGGUAAUAAGAAGAUAAAAUAAAUUCUUUUAUAAUUUUACAAAAAUUAUUGAUUUUAGGAUCCUUAUAUUAAGAUUAUAAGAUUAAGUUACCUUAGGGAUAACAGCGUAAUUUCUUUAGAGAGUUCAUAUUGAUAAGGAAGUUUGCGACCUCGAUGUUGGAUUAAAAGUUAUUUUAGGUGCAGUAGUUUAGAAUUUUGGUCUGUUCGACCAUUGAACUUUU
RNAcentral lists this ribosomal RNA (507 nucleotides) under Sternopriscus hansardii. RNAcentral describes it as "partial 16S ribosomal RNA". It matches the Rfam family "Bacterial large subunit ribosomal RNA", at positions 1827 to 2597 of the family's 2925-position model. Lineage: Eukaryota; Metazoa; Arthropoda; Insecta; Coleoptera; Dytiscidae. The record is from RNAcentral.